UAAUACAGAGGGGGCGAGCGUUAUUCGGAAUUAUUGGGCGUAAAGGGCGCGUAGGCGGCUUUUCAAGUGACGGGUGAAAGCCCUCGGCUUAACCGAGGAACUGCCUGUCAGACUGGAAGGCUUGAGACCGGGAGAGGUGAGUGGAAUUCCCAGUGUAGCGGUGAAAUGCGUAGAUAUUGGGAGGAACACCAGUGGCGAAGGCGGCUCACUGGACCGGAACUGACGCUGAGGCGCGAAAGCGUGGGGAGCAAACAGGAUUAGAUACCCUGGUAGUCCACGCCGUAAACGAUGAGUGCUUGGUGUAGCGGGUAUCGACCCCUGCUGUGCCGAAGUCAACACAUUAAGCACUCCGCCUGGGGAGUACGGUCGCAAGACU
Molecule: ribosomal RNA, 376 nt
Filed under: uncultured bacterium
Lineage: Bacteria
Description: bacterial SSU rRNA
Rfam family: Bacterial small subunit ribosomal RNA
Source: RNAcentral